This 492-nucleotide ribosomal RNA is filed under the name uncultured bacterium. RNAcentral's name for it is "partial 16S ribosomal RNA". It matches the Rfam family "Bacterial small subunit ribosomal RNA", at positions 29 to 507 of the family's 1533-position model. The record is from RNAcentral.
AGUGAACGCUGGCGGUAGGCCUAACACAUGCAAGUCGAACGGCAGCACAGUAAGAGCUUGCUCUUACGGGUGGCGAGUGGCGGACGGGUGAGGAAUACAUCGGAAUCUACUUUUUCGUGGGGGAUAACGUAGGGAAACUUACGCUAAUACCGCAUACGACCUACGGGUGAAAUCAGGGGAUCUUCGGACCUUGCGCGAUUGAAUGAGCCGAUGUCGGAUUAGCUAGUUGGCGGGGUAAAGGCCCACCAAGGCGACGAUCCGUAGCUGGUCUGAGAGGAUGAUCAGCCACACUGGAACUGAGACACGGUCCAGACUCCUACGGGAGGCAGCAGUGGGGAAUAUUGGACAAUGGGCGCAAGCCUGAUCCAGCCAUACCGCGUGGGUGAAGAAGGCCUUCGGGUUGUAAAGCCCUUUUGUUGGGAAAGAAAAGCAGCAGGUUAAUACCCCGCUGCUCUGACGGUACCCAAAGAAUAAGCAACGGCUAACUUCGUG